ACAAAACACAAAAAUGCAGGUGUCAUGUUGACCACGAGGGGGAGACAACAUAUUACUUACUAGACUCAAGAUUCGCUUUAUUGGCAAACGGUUCACACUACCAAAACAUUUAUAUAUUUACAUACCUGUACGCAGAAUAAUGAUUCUAAAUGGCUACAGAAACCCUUAUGCACAUAUAAGGAAACUAACAACUUAAUUUUGAUCUCACAGGUGAGUUCACACUGCAGAAAUUAUCCUGAUAAGAUCACCUUGCACCUGCAUCAUACUGUAUAUUGUGGCAAACUCCCGUUAAAAGAGAUCAAACUUAAAAUAAUUUAAUUCGGAAUAUUGUUUACAUUACUCCUAACCUAUAAAAAAGCUGAUUUGUUGUUUUGCGUUUAUAUUAUAGUCGCCUCAACGGCACCCUUCAGCUCUGUAGGAACCAUGAUUUCACCUCAGGUCGACAGGUGAAGAUCUCUGUAAAAUGACAGACAGAGUUUGAGUACUCCAUUAAAUGUUCUUGAAGAUAUCUCCUUCGUCGUGCGUUUGAAUACUGCAACACCACCAUGACAGAAAGCUAGACCCAACAAACAAAAACAGAAGACUGGACCUAAAAGGGAUGAUCCUGGCUGAGGACCGCCUGUGGGACCUGAGGCAGAAUGGUCGUCAUUUGGAGAGGCACGUAAAUGGGUCUUCAACAGCGCUGACCUGGGGACCAAAGUGACAGACCCAGCAUUUACAUAAUUUACGCUGAAGUUCGCCUCACUGCCUCCAUCCGCAGUGCCUAAGACCAUCCCAGUCCUCAGUCCAGAGAAUAAGAUGGCCACCAUCCCAGAGCCUCUUCCCAAGAUGGCCGCCAUUCCAGAGCCUCGUCCCAAGAUGGCCGCCAUUCCAGAGCAUUGUCCCAAGAUGGCUGCCAUUCCAGAGCAUUGUCCCAAGAUGGCUGCCAUUCCAGAGCAUUGUCCCAAGAUGGCUGCCAUUCCAGAGCAUUGUCCCAAGAUGGCUGCCAUUCCAGAGCAUUGUCCCAAGAUGGCCGCCAUUCCAGAGUUUCAUCCCAAGAUGGCCACCAUUCCAGAGCCUCGUCCCAUGUUCCCAGAGCUUCGUCCUCCCAACCUGCGGAGGACCUAUGGCUAAUUGGCUUUUGGUCAGAGCCAGUACCAGCCCCUGACCAGCGUCCAGUGAGGGCUCCAGCCCCUGACCAGCGUCCAACUUUUUUGUUCUCCUCCCUGCCCUGGCUAUCUUUGUGUCCAUUGAGACUUGGAUGCAUCGCUCCAGCCCCUCUCUGCAUUCUCAACGCUCUCACCGGGGAACUUGGUGAGACUUCAACGCUGCGUCACGGACAGCGCUCUAGGCAGAGUGACUUCUACGCUGCGUCACAAGCGACGCUAGGACCUUGUUUUGGACGUUCUCUCUCUUGUGUUCCUGUUGUUUUUCCCCCUGUGCUCAGUGAGAGCAAAAUAAAACUUUUCUGUUACCUGCAA
Long non-coding RNA from Ctenopharyngodon idella (grass carp), 1460 nucleotides. RefSeq lists it as uncharacterized. Lineage: Eukaryota; Metazoa; Chordata; Actinopteri; Cypriniformes; Xenocyprididae. The transcript is spliced from 4 exons. The record is from RefSeq and is a predicted model, not a curated record.